RNAcentral lists this ribosomal RNA (1210 nucleotides) under uncultured organism. Its description in RNAcentral is "bacterial SSU rRNA". It matches the Rfam family "Bacterial small subunit ribosomal RNA", at positions 57 to 1268 of the family's 1533-position model. The record is from RNAcentral.
GCAAGUCGAGCGGAGAUUGCAUUUAUGUAAUCUUAGCGGCGGACGGGUGAGUAACGCGUAGGCAACCUGCCUUGCACAGAGGGAUAACACCGGGAAAGUGGUGCUAAUACCACAUGAUAUCAUAACAAGGCAUCUUGAAAUGAUCAAAGGAGAAAUCCGGUGCAAGAUGGGCCUGCGUCCGAUUAGUUAGUUGGUGAGGUAACGGCUCACCAAGGCGACGAUCGGUAGCCGAACUGAGAGGUUGAUCGGCCACAUUGGGACUGAGACACGGCCCAGACUCCUACGGGAGGCAGCAGUGGGGAAUAUUGCGCAAUGGGGGGAACCCUGACGCAGCAACGCCCGCGUGAAGGAAGAAGGCCUUCGGGUUGUAAACUUUUUUGAUUGGGGAAGAAAAAAAUGACGGUACCCAAGGAACAAGCCACGGCUAACUACGUGCCAGCAAGCCGCGGUAAUACGUAGGUGGCGAGCGUUGUCCGGAAUUAACUGGGUGUAAAGGGCGUGUAGGCGGGAUUGUAAGUCAGAUGUGAAAUUCGAGGGCUUAACUCUGGAGGUGCAUCUGAAACUAUAAUUCUUGAGUGCUGGAGAGGGAAAGCGGAACUCCUAGUGUCGCGGUGACAUGCGUAGAUAUACGGCAAGACCACCAGUGGCGAAGGGGGCUUACUGGACAGUAACUGAAGCUGAGGCUCGAAAGCGUGGGGAGCAAACAGGAUUAGAUACCCCGGUACUUCACCCUUGUUAACGAUUGGAUACUACGCUGUAGGAGGUUAUCGACCCCGUUCUGUGCCGGGAGUUAACACAAAUAAGUAUGCCCACAUGGGGGAGUACGUGCCGAUAGCGCUGAAACUCAAAAGUAAUUUACGGGGGCACCGCACAAGCAUUGGAGUAUGUGGUCUUAUUCGAAGCAACGCGAAGAACAUUUACAGGGCUUGACAUCACUCGGAUAACAUAGAGAUAUGUUAGUCCUUCGGGACGAGGAGACAGCUGGUGCAUGGUCUCGUCAAGCUCGUGUCGUGAGAUGUUGGGUUAAGUCCCGCAACGAGCGCAACCCCUAUUGGUAGUUGCCAUCAUUAAUUUGGGCACUCUAACGAGACUGCCGCUGACAAAUCGGAGGAAGGUGGGGACGACGUCAAAUCAUCAUGCACCUUAUGUCCUGGGCUACACACGUACUACAAUGGUCACUACAAAGGGAAGCAAUACCGCAAGGAGGAGC